Macaca mulatta (Rhesus monkey) is the source of this 2152-nucleotide long non-coding RNA. RefSeq lists it as uncharacterized. The record is from RefSeq and is a predicted model, not a curated record. NCBI's taxonomy places the organism in Eukaryota, Metazoa, Chordata, Mammalia, Primates, Cercopithecidae.
UGAUAAGGAGGACUGCGGAACCCCAAGGUUCUACUCUGCCCUCUCCUCCAGCUUCCGCUAUCUGAAAACCGAAAGAAGCACUAAGACGCCGCUCUUCCGCAGAAGCCGGAUGGAAGAGGCGGUGUGGACCACCAAAGUCACAGUGCAAGACUGGACCCUAGUUCCGUAGCCUCUUCGCUCCAAGCUACUCCAGAGGUCAGUUCCCCCACCACACCGGUGGCCGGCCAACCUCGCCAAGGGCUCCCCAAGGUUGCAGCCAGACGGAACCACGGCCUCGCACGUGGCAAUAAGAGAAGAAUUUCCCCCAAGGUCGUGCCCAAGGCAGGUACAGUACCUGCCAGGAGGCGUGAGGAGAGAGUGUGAGGAGAUGCGGCCAUAAUUCACGAGUCUGGCCGCUCCCCGGGAUUCCCGUGUCCUCUCUCCUCACGGGCUGCCGGGCGCCGCCAUCUUCCUUCCCCGCCCCCCUGUGGGAGUAGUUCCGGGCCGUCACUUCCGGCCGGCAGGCUCCGGGAGGAGGGCGUGGUGGCCGUAGGUGAUCGCAACGUACACGCUGGAGUGUGGCGGGCUGACGGGUCUGAGACCUGAAGGACCCGGGAACCGCAAAGCACGGUGUGCCUCCGUUGUCCUGAAGAAAAAGCCGCGCGCAGACGACUGGCCGGCCCGCGCUCGCAGCUCCCAGACGUUGACAGGCAUCCUCGGGUGACCGGGUUGGCUGCUCCUUUGCUUUCAAAUAAGAUUUCUUCUCAGAAAGUCUACAUGUACUGAAUAAAAUCUGCAGUUUAUACAAUAUCACAUGACUUCAGAGUAAAUCCUAACUUUGUCAAAGCCUCGCUGAAUUUCCCACAAUAGAUAAAGACCCAGCUUUCCCUAGGAGCUAAAGGGAGAAAAAAAUCCCAACCUAGUGUGCAGGGUGUAACCAGUUGACACAGAACUGUGUAUUUGAAAACAAAAUAGAUUUCAAAACCUAAGGGGAGGCAAAUGAUUUGAGUAGAUUUUCUCCCAAGCAGACUUACAAAUGCCAAGAAGCACGAGGGAAAAAAAACCUUAGCAUCAUUAGUCAUUAGGGAAAUGCAAAACAAACCUACAAUGAGAUAUCAUUUCACAUCCACUUGGAUGGCUGUAAUCAGAAAGUCAAAUAAUAACAAGUGUUGACAAGGAUAUGGAGAAACUGGAACCCUCAAAGAUUGCUGACGAGGAUAUAAAAUUAUGUAGUCACUUUAGAAAACAGUUUAACUGUUCCAUAAUAAGUUAAACAUGGAACUGUAUGAUCCAGCAGUUCCUCUCCCAGGCAUAGACUCAAGACAAAUAGAAACAUACAUCCACACAAAAAUGUAUAUAUGAAUAUUUAUAGCAGUAUUAUUCAUAAUUGCCAAAAAGUGGCUACAACCCAAGUGUCCAUCAACUGAUUAAUGUAUAAAUGUUAUAUAUCCAUACAGUGGAAUGUUUGGCCAUAAAAUGAAAAUGGAGUACCAAUACAUGCCAUGAUAUGUAUGAACCACAAAAACAUACCAAGACCACAUAUUGGAUGGUUUCAUUUAUAUGAAAUGUCCAAAGUAAUUAAAUCCAUAGAGACAGAAAGUAGGUUAGUGGUUGCCUAUGGCUGGGAAGGUGGGUAGAGUUAAAAGAGAAGUGGCUGCUAAUGGGUACAAGGUUUAUUUAGGAUAGAGGAGGAUGAAAAUGUUCUAAAAUUGAUUUUAGUGAUAGUUGAAAAACUCUGAAUAUGUUAAAAAUCAUUGAAUUGUACACUUUAAAUAGGCACAUUGUAUAGAAUAUGGAUUAUCUACCAAUAAACCUGUUUUUAAAUUAGUCAGGAAGAGCUACUCAAGGAGAUCAAAGGUCCUGGUGUUGGACAGACAUCUACCAAUAGCUCUUCCCUCCUCAUGUAGAGUGGAAGAUGUAACUGUCCAGAAUAGACGCAUUUCCCAGCCUCUCUUGCAGCUUGGUAUGACUUUGCAAGUAAUUCUCAACAGUGGAAUGCAAGCGUAGGUAAUGUGUUUAAGUUCCAAGCGUCCUUAAUAAUGAGAUACCAGCCACAUAUUGAAGACAACGGAGCAAUAAAAUAGGCAGAGCUUGGGUCUCUACUGCUUGUGAAACUGCUGUAUCAGUCCUGGACUGGUUUCCUGAGGGACAAAUAAACUUCUAACUUGUUUAA